AUGCAAGUCGAGCGAACCGAUUAAGAGCUUGCUCUUAAGAAGUUAGCGGCGGACGGGUGAGUAACACGUAGGUAACCUGCCUAUAAGACUGGGAUAACUCCGGGAAACCGGGGCUAAUACCGGAUAACAUUUUGCACCGCAUGGUGCGAAAUUGAAAGGCGGCUUCGGCUGUCACUUAUAGAUGGACCYGCGGCGCAUUAGCUAGUUGGUGAGGUAACGGCUCACCAAGGCGACGAUGCGUAGCCGACCUGAGAGGGUGAUCGGCCACACUGGGACUGAGACACGGCCCAGACUCCUACGGGAGGCAGCAGUAGGGAAUCUUCCGCAAUGGACGAAAGUCUGACGGAGCAACGCCGCGUGAGCGAUGAAGGCCUUCGGGUCGUAAAGCUCUGUUGUUAGGGAAGAACAAGUGCUAGUUGAAUAAGCUGGCACCUUGACGGUACCUAACCAGAAAGCCACGGCUAACUACGUGCCAGCAGCC
RNAcentral lists this ribosomal RNA (481 nucleotides) under Bacillus sp. (in: firmicutes). RNAcentral describes it as "bacterial SSU rRNA". It matches the Rfam family "Bacterial small subunit ribosomal RNA", at positions 55 to 516 of the family's 1533-position model. Lineage: Bacteria; Bacillati; Bacillota; Bacilli; Caryophanales; Bacillaceae. The record is from RNAcentral.